GGGGGGUUGGGGGGGGAUGGUGCAGAAAUUCAAUGUUGUCAUUCAUUGUUAUAGGUUUUUCUGACCGUAGGAUCUUGUAUAUUAUGUUAUCAAUCAUCAUCAUUGACCCUGCAUCAUAUAUGGGGCUAGGACAGUUGCAUUAUAGGAGAGCUAGGACUGUCCCUCAGCCACUUAAUAUGCUUCAUCUGCAACACCAUAGGUCUUGCAAAGUCUAGUACAAAUCUUACCUAUUGAUUGAAAAAGACAAAAAUAAUGGCAAGAAUUAUUAAUUAGCAUUACAAAAGGAAAUAGUUAUUUCCACUUCAACAUUAGCUUCUCG
This 319-nucleotide long non-coding RNA is filed under the name Prunus persica (peach). Its description in RNAcentral is "long non-coding RNA (PPER_LNC006577)". Lineage: Eukaryota; Viridiplantae; Streptophyta; Magnoliopsida; Rosales; Rosaceae. The record is from RNAcentral.